UACGGAGGAUGCAAGCGUUAUCCGGAUUUAUUGGGUUUAAAGGGUGCGUAGGAGGAUAUGUAAGUCAGCGGUGAAACUCACAGGCUCAACCUGUGCCGUGCCGUUGAAACUGUGUAUCUGGAAUGCGGAUGCUGUGGGAGGAAUGUGUAGUGUAGCGGUGAAAUGCAUAGAUAUUACACAGAACACCGAUUGCGAAGGCAUCUCACAAAGCCGUUAUUGACGCUGAGGCACGAAAGUGUGGGGAUCAAACA
Molecule: ribosomal RNA, 251 nt
Filed under: uncultured prokaryote
Description: partial 16S ribosomal RNA
Rfam family: Bacterial small subunit ribosomal RNA
Source: RNAcentral